GUGUUCGCUUCAGCAGCACAUAUACUAAAAUUGGAACGAUACAGAGAAGAUUAGCAUGGCCUCUGCACAAGGACAGCAUGCAAAUUCAUGAAGCAUUCCAUAUUUUU
Molecule: small nuclear RNA, 107 nt
Filed under: Nannospalax galili (Upper Galilee mountains blind mole rat)
Lineage: Eukaryota; Metazoa; Chordata; Mammalia; Rodentia; Spalacidae
Source: RNAcentral